Long non-coding RNA from Sapajus apella (tufted capuchin), 981 nucleotides. RefSeq lists it as uncharacterized. NCBI's taxonomy places the organism in Eukaryota, Metazoa, Chordata, Mammalia, Primates, Cebidae. The record is from RefSeq and is a predicted model, not a curated record. The transcript is spliced from 3 exons.
AAUGGACUUUGGCCAAAGGAAAAGAAAGUUGUACCACCUGGCCACUUGGCAGCAGACAAAAACUUGCAAAAAGGCGGGCAAGAAAACACUUUGCUAUCAUUGCUCCAGCAUGUUUUUAUCCAAUGUAUUUUCUCUCACAGAUUGUCUCUACUUGCAAGCUUCCAGGAUUUUUAGAUGGAAUUUUCAUCAUAGUUGGUUAUAGCUUCUCCAGUGGCCUGUCUUCUGGAAUUAGCAAUUCUCACAAGACUUUAAUAACGUUGGCUCGGUUUGACUUCUCAAGGCUGGAAUGUGACCAAUACAUUAGCAAUGCUGAUUGGCUUUGAUGAGAGGUUUCUGAAAAGAAAUACAUGCAUAGAACUUUGACCUUGGGAAAAAUAGUGUUGAUGUGUUCAAACUACAACAACUUAAGAGUGUCUUUUGUAGCAUGACAGCAAUAAUUGUAUUAACCGAAGUGGAGUGAAAGUAAAUUUUAAGCAAAUUUCUACAAGAGAAACUCCUAGAGUACAGCCAGGAAAUUGCACAAUAGGUAUCAUUCAGUGGUGGAGCAGCAGUUCGUGGUGAUGGUAUCAUGCUUAAUGAAGGUAAUGAAAAGUAAGAAAUGCAAUGGAGAGCUGACGUUGCAUUGGCUGCAUUUAAUCACAUUGGAAGGAAGCUUUGUAUCAACUGAUGACAAGUUUGUGCUUUAGAGUAUACUGCUUUGAAGAUGAUGUCUGCCUAAAUGGAUCAGAAAUGUUAACACAAAGAAUAUAUAACAUAAAUUUUAAUCUUAACAUUACUCAUUGUAAUAUAUUGAGAAUCAAGAUUUGUAUCAUUGGAAUAAUAAAUACGCUAACCUGUAACUCACAGUCCUACAUGUGAACCACUAUCACAUAGUGAGCUAAUCAAGUAUGAAAAAUAGGUCUUGUAAACAAUAUGGGUACUUGGUUUUUAUGAGAGAGGAAAAAACAAGAAAUGGAAAUAGUAGCAUGGUUAUUGGCAGAA